UGCAGCAAUCAUGAAAGUACCCGUUGCAAUCGCAAGCCACCAAGUUUAGCAAUGCCGGGGCUUUUGCCUUAUAGAAAAUGACCUUACCCACAAGAGUCUUCCCAAAUAUUCCGCUCGUGAGAUCAGUCAGCAAGGUAAUUGCCGGUCAUCACAAUGCGUAUUCGGAGAAUCCACGUUUUUUACUCCUCCGGCGGGGCUAGCGGCGAGCGCGGCGGACGCGAUGCCCAUCCAUGCACCGGUGCCAAGUUCACCGCGGGCGCAGGGGGAAACAAGCUGUUCCUUACAAGAGCAACAGUGAUGGUGUAGCGUUCUCUGAAAGAAGAUCCUGGCAAUGCAAAGGAGAAAGUUUUGUUUUCAGUAGUGGAGAUAGAUGAAUCAGAGAAGGGAAGGAAAGGAAAGAAGAAUAAAGACAGAGGAGAAUGGCA
RNAcentral lists this long non-coding RNA (425 nucleotides) under Struthio camelus australis. RNAcentral's name for it is "lncRNA (ENSSCUG00000001129.1)". The record is from RNAcentral. Lineage: Eukaryota; Metazoa; Chordata; Aves; Struthioniformes; Struthionidae.